GUCUACGGCCAUACCACCCUGAACGCGCCCGAUCUCGUCUGACCUUAGAAGCUAAGCAGGGUCGGGCCUGGUUAGUACUUGGAUGGGAGAAUAUAGAAGCUCAGGUUUGAACU
Molecule: ribosomal RNA, 113 nt
Organism: Mustela putorius furo (domestic ferret)
Lineage: Eukaryota; Metazoa; Chordata; Mammalia; Carnivora; Mustelidae
Source: Ensembl